This 77-nucleotide transfer RNA is filed under the name Emcibacteraceae bacterium. RNAcentral's name for it is "tRNA-Arg". It matches the Rfam family "tRNA". From Rfam's summary of the family: Transfer RNA (tRNA) molecules are approximately 80 nucleotides in length. The record is from RNAcentral. Lineage: Bacteria; Pseudomonadati; Pseudomonadota; Alphaproteobacteria; Emcibacterales; Emcibacteraceae.
GCACCCGUAGCUCAGCUGGAUAGGGCGCUGCCCUCCGAAGGCAGAGGUCGUGAGUUCGAAUCUCGCCGGGUGCGCCA